This 253-nucleotide ribosomal RNA is filed under the name uncultured bacterium. RNAcentral describes it as "partial 16S ribosomal RNA". It matches the Rfam family "Bacterial small subunit ribosomal RNA", at positions 524 to 776 of the family's 1533-position model. The record is from RNAcentral.
UACGGAGGGUGCAAGCGUUAUCCGGAUUCACUGGGUUUAAAGGGUGCGUAGGUGGGCAGGUAAGUCAGUGGUGAAAUCUCCGAGCUUAACUCGGAAACUGCCAUUGAUACUAUCUGUCUUGAAUACCGUGGAGGUGAGCGGAAUAUGUCAUGUAGCGGUGAAAUGCUUAGAUAUGACAUAGAACACCAAUUGCGAAGGCAGCUCACUACACGAAUAUUGACACUGAGGCACGAAAGCGUGGGGAUCAAACAGG